UGUCAUGAGGUAAUGGCCCCGCCCACUGAACUUCAGCUCAUCCACUGACAUUAUUUCUUCCUCAUUGUACUGCAGUGGAAGAACAUUGUUCAUCUGCUGUGUGUCUGACUUUAAUAACUCCAAAGACAUGUUGUUUUACUUCUUUCUGUUUUCAUCUCACUUCAUAGGUGAGUUCAUGAACAGCUGAGUUUCUCUUUUAACCUGAUGUGUUCAUGUUCACAGUUGAAAUCUCACAAUAUUCUGUGUUUGUCAUCAAGUUGUGUACAAUCUAAUUGUAAUCUUAGCUACAGUUGAGCUGUUUGUGUCCACAGAGUAACACUGUACAGGUGAUAUUUUCCACUGUCUUCUCCUCUCAGCCUCAUGGACAAUGUGAGUCUGAUGGCUUCAUUUUCUCUACUUUUUCCAGGACUAAUAGCUGGAGAUACAAUCUCUCCUGGACAAGAUGAAGUCAGUGGAACAGAAGGACAAUCUGUCACACUCUCAUGCAACUAUGAGGCAGAUAAUGAUGGUUAUACUCGUAGACUUUACUGGUACAAACAUCAUUCUGACCUUCAGGCUCCUCAGUUUAUACUCUGGAAAGGAGCAAAAGGGAACAGAGGUGAAAAUAUUCCUGAUAAAGGUAAAUAUGAAUCCCAAACAUCAGCUACAUCAACUACAUUGACCAUCAGAGAGCUAACCCUGGCAGACACAGCUCUCUACUACUGUGCUGUAGAGAAAGACACACAGUGA
Molecule: non-coding RNA, 729 nt
Organism: Stegastes partitus (bicolor damselfish)
Lineage: Eukaryota; Metazoa; Chordata; Actinopteri; Pomacentridae
Source: the annotation of a RefSeq genome assembly